GAAUUAUUCAUGAAUAUUCAUGAACAAUUUUCAUGAAUAUUCAUGAAUAUUCAAGGUAACAAUUCAUGAAUAUUCAUGAAUAUUCAUGAAUGUUAAAUGGCACCUUGAAUAUACAUGAAUAUUGUAUGAACUGAAUAAGCUUGAAUAUACAUGAAUAUUGUAUGAACUGAAUAACCAAGAAUUAACAUGAAUAAUUAUCUGAAGAAUAUUUAUGAAUAUGAAAUAGGAUGUCCAUGAAUAAUGAAUGAUAGAAUAUUCUAGAAUCACCAUGAAUGUGAAAUAUAUAUCUAUCCCAAUAAUGAAUGCUAAAUACAUCCUCUAGAAUAACCUUGAAUGUGAAUAUUUCAUGAAUAUUGAAUGGUUGAAUAUUCUAGAAUAACCAUGAAUAUUGAAUGGUUGAAUAUUUUAGAAUAACCAUGCAUAUUGAAUUGUUGAAUAUUCUAGAAUAACCAUGAAUAUUGAAUUGUUGAAUAUUUUAGAAUAACCAUGCAUAUUGAAUUGUUGAAUAUUCUAGAAUAACCAUGAAUAUAAAAUUGAAUGGUUGAAUAUUCUAGUAUAACUGUGAAUAUAAAAUGAUUUAAUAUUCUAUAAUGAAUUUGAAAUAAGUGUCCUUGAGAGGUGAGUUUUAAGGAACAUUCUAGAAUAACCAUGAUAUCACUUCUGUCUGAAAAUUCUUUCAAAAGAAAAACAUAUAUACAUUUAGUAUGUCAAAACCAAAAGCAAAUACAGACAUUUAAGUUUAAAAUAUUUUUUAAUCAUGAUAGCUGUGAAAUAUGAAUUUACAAUAACUUUCAUUAAAAGCAAGCAAAAUUGUCCACUAUUUAAUCCAAACCUUCCCUUGAUCUAUGUGUUUUUCAGAUCUAUUUUUAAACUAAAAGCAAGCAAAUCUAAUGGAGCAAAGUGAUAAUCAUACAUAAUUUUUACUUAUUUACAGAAGUUUUUUUUAAGUCUGAUAGCUUUUUGAACAUUUUGUAAUUUUGCAAUGAUAUCUUUUUCACGUUAAUCUGGGAAUUUUUCUAAAAUUGUUAUUGUCAAAAAUUCAUAUGUUGGCCUAUCUUAUGCCGGCUUGACUUCUUGCUUUGCAUUGGUUUUUCUUCUUUUUAUACUAUGAUCAAUCAGAUAGUUUUCUCCAAAAAUGAGCAGGAAAACAUCUAUGACACAUGACUGUUCAUUCUUUUAACUUCUUCCUCUAGCUUCUCAGUCCUCUUUUCAGAAUCGGCAAAGGUUUUAACAUUGGAGGCCAGUUUUUGCAUAUUCUGUUUAAUCCUGUGAUAAAAAUAAACAUAGUUAAGAAGAAUAUUAAGAUUUUCUAAUUACAUUUUUUGUUUUAAAAUAUCUCGUGUG
RNAcentral lists this long non-coding RNA (1344 nucleotides) under Mytilus galloprovincialis (Mediterranean mussel). Lineage: Eukaryota; Metazoa; Mollusca; Bivalvia; Mytilida; Mytilidae. The record is from RNAcentral.